UACGUAGGUGGCAAGCGUUGUCCGGAUUUACUGGGUGUAAAGGGCGUGUAGCCGGGCUGACAAGUCAGAUGUGAAAUCCGGGGGCUCAACCCCCGAACUGCAUUUGAAACUGUUGGUCUUGAGUAUCGGAGAGGCAGGCGGAAUUCCUAGUGUAGCGGUGAAAUGCGUAGAUAUUAGGAGGAACACCAGUGGCGAAGGCGGCCUGCUGGACGACAACUGACGGUGAGGCGCGAAAGCGUGGGGAGCGAACAGG
Molecule: ribosomal RNA, 253 nt
Filed under: uncultured bacterium
Lineage: Bacteria
Description: partial 16S ribosomal RNA
Rfam family: Bacterial small subunit ribosomal RNA
Source: RNAcentral